Molecule: long non-coding RNA, 1023 nt
Filed under: Helianthus annuus (common sunflower)
Lineage: Eukaryota; Viridiplantae; Streptophyta; Magnoliopsida; Asterales; Asteraceae
Description: hypothetical non coding rna
Source: RNAcentral
UUGGUCAAAUAUUAAAAAAAUAAAAAUAAAACAAGUAGUUACAUCUUUUUGUCUUGGUUCUCAAAAUGCAUUCUCCACAUCACCGAAGUUGUUUUAAAAAAAAACAAUAGAGUGUUACUUAAGUUUCUUAAUUUAUGUAAUUUAGUUGUUAAUAUACCAAUCAUUUGGUGUAUUUCUAAAAAAAGGUAACGUGACUUGUAUUUAAAAGCCUAUGUAAGGAAUCGUUAGCCAAACCCUGUAAUUUUCCAGCUCUCGUGUUUGCCCUUGUAUACUACUUAAUCGAUAUUUACAGAUAUUUAUAUGUUUUUACACGUAUUGCACUUAUUUAUAAAAAGGAUAUUGGAUUUAAAUAACCCAAAUUUUUAUUAAUUGGCGGAUAGAUGACUCUCACAACUUCCAAUUUUUACCACACCACUCUCCACUUUCAACUUAUUGGCCGAUGACACUCGCAAAUUAACUGAACCCUAACAUAGUUAGUUUUUUGCUGAUGUGACAGUUGUGUGAUGACGUGACAUCUGAAGUAGAAUUUUUUUGAUGACGUGACAGCUGAUGUUGUAUAUGACUUGGCUUUUUUGGUGACGUGGCGACAGACGUGACAUUUGACUUGGUUUUUUAUGACCUUUUUUUUAACGGCAAAUUUCUUUUAUUUCCUGCUGUCUGUGGGACUUGAACCUAAGACAUCCCCCUCCCAAGGUGUUUAAAGGUUUUUUAUGACCUGGCAAAUGAUGUCAGCAAACAGGUGGUGUGAUACAAAUCAAAAGUUAGAAGUGUUAUCGGCUAGUUGAUGAAAGUUUGAGUUAUUUAAAUUCAAUAUCGCUAUAAAAGAUUAAGUAUAUAAUGGACUAGGAUCGUAUUUUAUGUUUAAUAUUAUGCUUCUUUCCAUUUAAUUUACUAAGGGUGAAGGGAAUGGUUACCUAAUGGAAUAGGUAAACUUCCAAUUCACCAAAUCACAUAGCGUCAUGUCAAUUGUUUACCUAAUGCUAAAAAACGUUAUCGGUGAUUUACCUAAUGAGGUUUAGAUAA